This 148-nucleotide ribosomal RNA is filed under the name uncultured bacterium. Its description in RNAcentral is "partial 16S ribosomal RNA". It matches the Rfam family "Bacterial small subunit ribosomal RNA", at positions 355 to 517 of the family's 1533-position model. The record is from RNAcentral.
UGGGGAAUAUUGGGCAAUGGGCGCAAGCCUGACCCAGCAACGCCGCGUGAAGGAAGAAGGCUUUCGGGUUGUAAACUUCUUUUAAGAGGGAAGAGUAGAAGACGGUACCUCUUGAAUAAGCCACGGCUAACCUACGUGCCAGCAGCCG